RNAcentral lists this ribosomal RNA (180 nucleotides) under uncultured Glomeromycotina. RNAcentral's name for it is "partial small subunit ribosomal RNA". The stretch from base 93 to 180 matches the Rfam family "Eukaryotic small subunit ribosomal RNA", at positions 738 to 826 of the family's 1831-position model. Lineage: Eukaryota; Fungi; Glomeromycota. The record is from RNAcentral.
GGCCUGGCUGGGCGGUCUUGCCGAAAGGUAAGCACUGCUCUGGUCGGGCCUUUCCUUCUGGGGAACCUGCGUGCUCUUAAUUGAGUGCGCAGGGGAUCCAGGACUUUUACUUUGAAAAAAUUAGAGUGUUCAAAGCAGGCUUUUACGCUUGAAUACAUUAGCAUGGAAUAAUGGAAUAGG